UACGGAGGGUGCGAGCGUUGUCCGGAAUCACUGGGCGUAAAGGGCGCGUAGGUGGCGCGGGAAGUCAACGGUGAAAGUUCGGGGCUCAACCCUGAAUCGGCCGUCGAUACUCCCGGGCUCGAGCACUGUAGAGGCAGAUGGAAUUCCGGGUGUAGCGGUGGAAUGCGUAGAUAUCGGGAGGAACACCAGUGGCGAAGGCGGCGACCUGGACGGACACUGACGCUGAGACGCGAAAGCGUGGGGAGCAAACAGG
This 253-nucleotide ribosomal RNA is filed under the name uncultured bacterium. RNAcentral describes it as "partial 16S ribosomal RNA". It matches the Rfam family "Bacterial small subunit ribosomal RNA", at positions 524 to 776 of the family's 1533-position model. The record is from RNAcentral.